GAUGAACGCUGGCGGCGUGCCUAAUACAUGCAAGUCGAGCGAACAGACGAGGAGCUUGCUGCUUGGACGUUAGCGGAGGAGGGGUGAGUAACACGUGGAAAACGUCCCUGUCAGACUGGGAACAUUUCGGGAAAGCGGAGCAAAUACCGGAUAAUAUAUUGCACCGCAUGGUUCAAUAGUGAAAGACGGUUUUGCUGUCACUUCUAGAUGGAUCUGAGCCGGUUUGGCUGGUUGGUACGGUCACAGGUUACCAAGGCAAGUAGGCGUAGGCGACCGGAGGGAGGGGUCGGCCACACUGGAACGGGGACAGGGUCCUUGCGCCUACGGUACGCAGCAGUAGGGAAUCGUCCGCAAUGGGCGAAAGCCUGACGGAGCAACGCGGCGUCAGUGAUGAAGGUCUUCGGAUCGUGAAACUCUGUUAUUAGGGAAGAACAAAUGUGGAAGUAACUAUGCACGUCUUGACGGUACCUAAUCAGAAAGCCACGGCUAACUACGUG
This 497-nucleotide ribosomal RNA is filed under the name uncultured bacterium. RNAcentral's name for it is "partial 16S ribosomal RNA". It matches the Rfam family "Bacterial small subunit ribosomal RNA", at positions 28 to 507 of the family's 1533-position model. The record is from RNAcentral.